This 243-nucleotide ribosomal RNA is filed under the name uncultured bacterium. Its description in RNAcentral is "partial 16S ribosomal RNA". It matches the Rfam family "Bacterial small subunit ribosomal RNA", at positions 524 to 765 of the family's 1533-position model. The record is from RNAcentral.
UACAGAGGUCCCAAGCGUUGUUCGGAUUCACUGGGCGUAAAGGGUGCGCAGGUGGGUUUGCAAGUUCGAUGUGAAAGCCCCGGGCUUAACCCGGGAAUGGCAUUGGAUACUGCAGAUCUGGAGGAUCGGAGGGGGGACUGGAAUUCUUGGUGUAGCGAGUGAAAUGCGUAGAUAUCAAGAGGAACACCAGUGGCGAAGGCGAGUCCCUGGACGGUACCUGACACUGAGGCACGAAAGCUAGGG